CCUGAGUUAACCUUGGAGUCGGGUUGUUUGUGAAUGCAGCCCAAAGCGGGUGGUAAACUCCAUCCAAGGCUAAAUACUAGCACGAGUCCGAUAGCGAACAAGUACCGUGAGGGAAAGUUGAAAAGUACUUUGAAGAGAGAGUAAACAGUGCGUGAAACCGCUCAGAGGUAAACAGGUGGAGUUGAACUGUAAGCUGCGGGAAAUCAGCUGGUGUGUUUGGCAUGGGCUUGGACAUAUUGGUCGGCCUACGGAGUCCGCUUAGCUGCGGGUUUCUGCUCUUCGGAGUGGGAAUGUGCGUUGCACUUAUCAAGUGUUGUGCGCUCCGGUGGUUGACGGCCUGCUCGCCAGUGCACUUUCCCGUAGUGAUCACCACGACCGGCGCUGUUGCCUUUCUGCUGUGGUCAAACCGUUCAGGUGUGGUCUUCGGACUGAAUCUGUCGGGAUGGCAGGUAGCUCGUUGGUUGGCUUGCCGGCCAAUGGGUGUAAUAAGCUGUCUGCAGUAGAUUUGUGCAAUGCGUCGGGGACGGCGGCUUCUGGCAUGGGCGUGCGUGUCCUCUGCUGGCAGGGUCGGGUCUGAUCAACAUGUUUACUCACUAAAGUGGGUCUGUUGGUGGCUCGGUUUUGUCCAGUAGGGGUUCGCGUACGUGU
This 648-nucleotide ribosomal RNA is filed under the name Neogogatea sp. VT6130. Its description in RNAcentral is "partial large subunit ribosomal RNA". It matches the Rfam family "Eukaryotic large subunit ribosomal RNA", at positions 247 to 610 of the family's 3401-position model. Lineage: Eukaryota; Metazoa; Platyhelminthes; Trematoda; Diplostomida; Cyathocotylidae. The record is from RNAcentral.